This 440-nucleotide ribosomal RNA is filed under the name uncultured bacterium. Its description in RNAcentral is "partial 16S ribosomal RNA". It matches the Rfam family "Bacterial small subunit ribosomal RNA", at positions 338 to 795 of the family's 1533-position model. The record is from RNAcentral.
CCUACGGGAGGCAGCAGUGGGGGAUAUUGCACAAUGGGGGGAACCCUGAUGCAGCGACGCCGCGUGGGUGAAGAAGCGCCUCGGCGCGUAAAGCCCUGUCAGCAGGGAAGAAAAUGACGGUACCUGAAGAAGAAGCCCCGGCUAACUACGUGCCAGCAGCCGCGGUAAUACGUAGGGGGCAAGCGUGAUCCGGAUUUACUGGGUGGAAAGGGGGCGCAGCCGGCGAUGCAAGCCAGGAGUGAAAGCCCGGGGCCCAACCCCGGGACUGCUCUUGGAACUGCGUGGCUGGAGUGCAGGAGGGGCAGGCGGAAUUCCUGGUGUAGCGGUGAAAUGCGUAGAUAUCAGGAGGAACACCGGUGGCGAAGGCGGCCUGCUGGACUGCAACUGACGUUGAGGCCCGAAAGCGUGGGGAGCAAACAGGAUUAGAUACCCUUGUAGUC